AAUGAAGAGUGCCAAACAUGCAGGAGGUUUUUGUACCAGCAGUAAUAGGGAUUGUAUCACUGUGGUGCACUUUUGGUAGCGGCACAAGACUAGAUGUUGGAAGUAACAGUGCCCCCACCCUCACCGUCCUGCCCCCCUCUAGUGAGGAGCUGUCCAGUACAACAACAGCCACACUGACGUGUCUGGCCAACAAGGGCUUCCCCUCAGACUGGACCAUAAGAUGGAAAGUGGACGGGACCAGCCAGAAGCAGGAGGCCAGUUCUAGGGUCCUGGAGAAGGAUGGCCUGUACAGCUGGAGCAGCACCCUGACUCUCACUGGCCAGGAGUGGACCAAGGCAGGAGAGGUGACCUGUGAAGCUCAGCAGAAUUCCCAGAAUCCAGUCACCAAGACCUUGAGGAGGGCUGACUGUUCUGGGUAGGACCCCUCAGUCACA
Oncorhynchus gorbuscha (pink salmon) is the source of this 434-nucleotide non-coding RNA. Lineage: Eukaryota; Metazoa; Chordata; Actinopteri; Salmoniformes; Salmonidae. The record is from the annotation of a RefSeq genome assembly.